This 502-nucleotide ribosomal RNA is filed under the name uncultured Glomus. Its description in RNAcentral is "SSU rRNA". It matches the Rfam family "Eukaryotic small subunit ribosomal RNA", at positions 569 to 1074 of the family's 1831-position model. The record is from RNAcentral. Lineage: Eukaryota; Fungi; Glomeromycota; Glomeromycetes; Glomerales; Glomeraceae.
AGCAGCCGCGGUAAUUCCAGCUCCAAUAGCGUAUAUUAAAGUUGUUGCAGUUAAAAAGCUCGUAGUUGAAUUUCGGGAUUAAUAUGUUGGUCGUGCCUUGGUACGUACUGGCAUUAUUGAUUCCUACCUUCUGAAGAACCUCGAUGUCAUUAAUUUGGUGUCUUGGGGAAUCAGGACCGUUACUUUGAAAAAAUUAGAGUGUUUAAAGCAGGCUCGCGCUUGAAUACAUUAGCAUGGAAUAAUGAAAUAGGACGUUUGAUUCUAUUUUGUUGGUUUCUAGGAUCGACGUAAUGAUUAAUAGGGAUAGUUGGGGGCAUUAGUAUUCAAUUGUCAGAGGUGAAAUUCUUGGAUUUAUUGAAGACUGACUACUGCGAAAGCAUUUGCCAAGGAUGUUUUCAUUAAUCAAGAACGAAAGUUAGGGGAUCGAAGACGAUCAGAUACCGUCGUAGUCUUAACCNUAAACUAUGCCGACUAGGGAUCGGAUGAUGUUAAUUUUUAAUGA